RNA transcript from Rattus rattus (black rat), 2771 nucleotides. It is a transcript of the gene named KN motif and ankyrin repeat domains 3, with no coding region annotated. NCBI's taxonomy places the organism in Eukaryota, Metazoa, Chordata, Mammalia, Rodentia, Muridae. The record is from RefSeq and is a predicted model, not a curated record. The transcript has 9 exons.
GGCUCUCUGGUGGCUACUCCAGGAAGCAUGGCCAAGUUUGUCCUGAAUCAGAACCUUCCCGACCUGGGCGGUCCUUCCCUGUACCCAGGCCCCACUGGGAGUGCCCGCAGCCCUAGCUCUCCCUACUCUGUGGAGACGCCCUAUGGCUUCCACCUGGACCUGGACUUCCUCAAGUACGUGGAGGAAAUCGAGCGUGGCCCUGCCUCUCGCCGAGCUCCAGGACCCCCGCACGCACGCCGUCCGCGCGCGUCCCGAACGGGCCUCGCGGGAGCGCGGAGCCCAGGAGCUUGGACCUCCAGCGAGUCCCUGGCCAGUGACGACGGCGGAGCUUCUGGUGCACUCUCUCCCGGGGCGUUCCCAGGGCUCUCGCUACCUCCGCUGUCGCCCCGCUCCUUCUCGCGCAAUCCGCGCGUCGAGCACACGCUCUUGGAGACCAGCCGACGACUGGAGCAGGCACAGGCUCAAGAGCGCGCGCUCAGCCCGGCCCGUGCGGCCACGCGCAGUCCGCGCGGGUCGGGCCGCAGCAGCCCCGCCCCCAACCCCGCCCUUACUUCGCCCAGCCCUGCCCUUGCUUCGCCCGGCCCUGCCCAGCUGCAGCACGUGAGGGAGCAGAUGGCCGUGGCGCUGCGGCGCCUGCGUGAGCUCGAGGACCAGGCGCGCGCUCUGCCGGAGCUGCAGGAGCAGGUGCGCGCGCUUCGCGCUGAGAAGGCGCGGCUACUGGCCGGGCGCGUGCAGCCAGAGCAAGAUGUAGAGAUCGAGGUGCGCCCAGACAAGCUCUCCCAGCUUCGGCGCCUCACCGAGCGUCUGGCCACCUCGGAUCGCGGAGUCCGCUCCAGGGCUAGCCCCCGGGCUGAAGAUCCUGACGGGUUGGCUGCCAGGCGCAGCGAAGGAGCGCUGCAGGUGCUCGACCCGGCGUCUAGGACACCCGAUGGGGAACCCCAGACUCGGGAGGCGGGCACCGAAGUCGUGCCUGAGACCCGAGAGGUGGAUGCCCAGGCAGUACCCGACACAAGGGAGGCUGGGGUGGAGGUGGUCCCUGAGACCGUUGAGGUGGACACGUGGGUGACCGAGGCGCUGCUGGGGUUGCCCGAGGCUGCAGAGCGUGAGCUGGAACUGCUCCGCACGAGCUUGGAGCAUCAGCGAGGGGUGAGCGACCUCUUGCGGGGCCGAUUGAGGGAGCUGGAGGAAGCCCACGAGGCUUUAGUGACCAGGUCUCAGUCUCGCGAGGUUGCUACCCAAACUACAUUGGGUUACACUGAGAAGACCACACAGACCGAGCUCCCAGUAGAGAGCCAGCCCAGACCCACUGCUGGAGACGAGAUGGCCCCUGCUGGUAUCCUCAAAUCCAUCAUGAAGAAGAAAGAUGGUACUCCAGGUGCACAAUCCAGUCAGGGACCCAAGAGCCUGCAGUUCGUUGGGGUCCUCAACGGAGAGUAUGAGAGCUCCUCCAGUGAGGAUGCCAGCAACAGUGAUGAUGAAGAUGAUGUUGCUGAACUCCCCAGGAGUAGCUCUUCUGGGUCAGGAGAUGAUAGCAGUGGGGGAUCUGACGCUGGAACUCCUGGCCCCCACAAUGACCAAGAUGCGGGGGACUGCGAGCUUGAGAUGCUUCCAGAGCAGAAGGCAGGGAGAGAAGGGAGGUGUGAACUGAACCCCCGUUUGAGGGAGGCUUGCAUUGCUCUGAAUCAGCAGCUGAUGCGGCCCCGUGGAGUCACCAGCAGAGAUGCAUUGAUGCCUACUCUGUCCUGGUCCUGCCAGAAUGCAGCACGUCUUGUGGCCCAGGAGUGGUUUCGAGUGUCCAGCCAAAAGCGCUGUCAGGCCGAGCCCGUGGCUGGGGUGCUUCGAGGGGUGAAGAGCCUGGGGCCUGAGCUGCUGGCUCAUGUGGUGAACCUGGCUGACGGCAACGGAAACACAGCUUUGCAUUACAGCGUGUCUCAUGGGAAUCUGGCCAUUUCCAGCCUGCUACUGGAUACAGGGGUCUGCGAUGUCAAUCACCAGAAUAGAGCUGGCUACUCUGCACUCAUGUUGGCUGCACUCACUUCUGUAGGAAAGGAGGAGGAAGAUAUGGCUGUGGUCCAGAGACUUUUCAGCAUGGGUGAUGUCAAUGCCAAGGCUAGCCAGACUGGACAGACAGCCCUCAUGCUGGCCAUCAGCCAUGGUCACCAGGACAUGGUAGCUGCCUUGCUGGAAUGUGGGGCUGAUGUCAAUGUACAGGAUGCUGAUGGGGCUACAGCACUCAUGUGUGCCAGCGAGUAUGGACGCCUGGAUACAGUUCAGUUGUUGUUGGCCCAGCCAGGUUGUGACCUAACCAUCUUGGACAACGUGAGCCACUAGUUAGGGCCUGGAAUUAGUGGUGGUUAUGUGCCUCUGUAGCCCCGGGACCAAAUGUCCUGUUAUUUCUCAGGAGGGCACAAGUGCCUUGGCCAUUGCACUGGAGGCUGAACAGGAUGAGGUGGCUGCGUUGCUCCAUGCCCACCUGACAUCAAACCGCCAUGACUCCCAGGAACAGUCGCCUCCAGGGUCUCCCACAGCCACACUGCAAAGGGAUACAGGACCUCAACCUCUGUGAGCUGCUACCUACACAUCUGGAGUGUAGGAGACUCUUCCCUCUGCUGCCUGAGCUUCUGAAUCACAGCAGGGUACCCUGUGAAGGUGCUCCCUCUAGCUUGUUAGGAAUGCUGAGGGGAAGGAUGAGGCAAAGCCUGGGGAAUGCCAGAUCCCUCGACCCAUUCACUUCAUAAAACAUCCUUCCUAAUAAAAGUAUUUCUAAUAAA